UGCCUAACCCUCAUGCACGUAAAAUCGCAGAGGUAUGGCCGAAAAUCCUUUCCAGUAAAAAACUCCUCGUCAGAGUUCCUGGAAAGGUCAUACCUCGAAAGGGGUGUGUCGGGCCGAAAGGUUCGA
This 126-nucleotide small RNA is filed under the name unclassified sequences. RNAcentral describes it as "LOOT RNA". It matches the Rfam family "LOOT RNA". From Rfam's summary of the family: Latescibacteria, OD1/Parcubacteria, OP11, TM7. Lineage (Microgenomates, aka OP11) The record is from Rfam by way of RNAcentral.